ACAGGUGUCUGUUUAUCAGACUUAAUAAAGAAUCCAGUGAAAAGCUGGAACGGUCCCGCCACUGUAAGAUUGAGUGAUGCACAUAUAUGUCACUGGGAGUAAUCCUGGGAAGGCGUGCAAAGCGAUGAAGUCGAGUCAGGAGAAUUGCCUGUUU
RNAcentral lists this non-coding RNA (154 nucleotides) under uncultured Anaerovibrio sp. Lineage: Bacteria; Bacillati; Bacillota; Negativicutes; Selenomonadales; Selenomonadaceae. The record is from RNAcentral.